AAUAUUUUGUUUGCGAUUUUUUUUUUUUUUUUGAGAGAUAGUUAACAUGCUACCCGCUUCGUUUAUUUCAUUUAGAAAUAAACUUAGAUGGAAAUGUGAAUCAACUAAGAUUUGAACUUGAGUCUUUCACUAUUGAUUUACUCGAAUAUUUUGUUUGUGAUUUUUUUUUUUUUGAGAGAUAUGACGUUAUCCGCCUCGUUUAUUUUAUUUAGAAAUAAACUUAGCUGGAAAUGUGAAUCAACUAGAAUUCAAACUUAGGUAUCGGGUACCAACCACCAAACCCUUUGCCACUUGCUUUAGGAACGGUCGGUUAUAAAAUAUUUUUUAUUAUUUUCCUUUAA
RNAcentral lists this long non-coding RNA (341 nucleotides) under Ananas comosus (pineapple). RNAcentral describes it as "long non-coding RNA (ACOM_LNC007749)". The record is from RNAcentral. Lineage: Eukaryota; Viridiplantae; Streptophyta; Magnoliopsida; Poales; Bromeliaceae.